RNAcentral lists this ribosomal RNA (1449 nucleotides) under uncultured bacterium. RNAcentral's name for it is "16S ribosomal RNA". It matches the Rfam family "Bacterial small subunit ribosomal RNA". The record is from RNAcentral.
AAUAAACGCUGGCGGCGUGCCUAACACAUGCAAGUCGAGCGAGAAAGUUCCUUCGGGAACAAGUAAAGCGGCAAACGGGUGAGUAACGCGUGGGAAUCUACCUUUCAGUGAGGAAUACCCUCGAGAAAUCGAGGUUAAUACUGCAUACGUCCCUUCGGGGAGAAAGGCGGCCUCUUGCUGUCGCUGAAAGAUGAGCCUGCGUACUAUUAGCUAGUUGGUAGGGUAAUGGCUUACCAAGGCAAUGAUGGUUAGCCGGCCUGAGAGGGUGUACGGCCACACUGGAACUUAGACACGGUCCAGACUCCUACGGGAGGCAGCAGUGAGGAAUCUUGCUCAAUGGGCGAAAGCCUGAAGCAGCGACGCCGCGUGAAGGAUGACGGUCUUCGGAUUGUAAACUUCUGUUAAGUGGGAAGAAAUCUCUAUUUCUAAUACAAAUAGAGGAUGACGGUACCAUUAGAGAAAGCACUGGCUAAUCUCGUGCCAGCAGCCGCGGUAAUACGAGGGGUGCAAGCGUUAUUCGGAAUUAUUGGGCGUAAAGGGUGUGUAGACGGCAGACUAAGUCAACUGUUAAAUUCCUCGGCCUAACUGAGGGUAUGCGGUAGAAACUGGUAUGCUAGAGGGUGAGAGAGAGAAGUGGAAUUCUCGGAGUAGCGGUAAAAUGCGUAGAUCUCGAGAGGAACACCGAUGGCGAAGGCAGCUUCUUGGCUCACUCCUGACGUUGAGGCACGAAAGCGUGGGGAGCAAACAGGAUUAGAUACCCUGGUAGUCCACGCUGUAAACGAUGAUCACUAGACGUUAGUACUGCUUUGCGGUAUUAGUGUCGUAGCUAACGCGAUAAGUGAUCCGCCUGGGGAUUACGGUCGCAAGACUAAAACUCAAAGGAAUUGACGGGGGUCCGCACAAGCGGUGGAACAUGUGGUUUAAUUCGACACUACGCGAGGAACCUUACCUAGGCUUGACAUGCUUUUGACCGCUAUAGAAACAUAGCUUUCCUGGCUUCGGUCAGGACAAUUGCACAGGUGCUGCAUGGCUGUCGUCAGCUCGUGUCGUGAGAUGUUUGGUUAAGUCCUCUAACGAGCGCAACUCUUGCCGCCAGUUGCUACUUCUAACGAAGGCACUCUGGUGGGACUGCCUGGGAAACCAGGAGGAAGGUGGGAAUGACGUCAAGUCCUCAUGGCCCUUAUGCCUAGGGCGACACACGUGUUACAAUGGCUAGUACAAAGGGAAGCAAUUCCGCAAGGAGGAGCAAAUCUCAGAAAACUAGUCUAAGUUCAGAUUGAGGUCUGCAACUCGACCUCAUGAAGUUGAAAUCGCUAGUAAUCGCGCAUCAGAACGGCGCGGUGAAUACGUUCUCGGGCCUUGUACACACCGCCCGUCACACCACGAAAGCUGUUUGUACCCAAAGCCAUCUUAGCUAACCCGUAAGGGAGGCGGAUGUCUAAGGUAUGA